UUGAAAGGGAAACGGAAUUAGAAGCCUAGUCGUACCUUCGGGUAAUCGAGCCGUUUUGGGUGUGAUUUUGUGGAACGUGAGGAGUUAAACGCCUUCAUGCCUGCAUAUUCGUGCACUUUGGGUGUACUUGCCCGUAUGGUUGGUUAACAUCAAUUUUGAUGGUCAUAAAAUGACUGGAGGAAUGUAGCUUCGAUCUCGUAUUGAAGUGUUAUAGCCUUCGGUAGAUGUGAUGAUCGAGAUUGAGGAUUGCAACGGAUACCCUUCGGGGCUACCUGUCUGAUCUCUGAUCGUUGCUCUGGUGCCGAAAGCUUGCUUACGGUUAUCAAAGUCGAUGGUCAAUAGGUUAGAACGGGUUAAAUUCGUUAAGGAUGUUGACGUA
This 379-nucleotide ribosomal RNA is filed under the name uncultured Glomeromycotina. RNAcentral describes it as "LSU rRNA". Lineage: Eukaryota; Fungi; Glomeromycota. The record is from RNAcentral.